Molecule: ribosomal RNA, 491 nt
Filed under: uncultured bacterium
Lineage: Bacteria
Description: partial 16S ribosomal RNA
Rfam family: Bacterial small subunit ribosomal RNA
Source: RNAcentral
GUGCACGCUGGCGGUAGGCCUAACACAUGCAAGUCGAACGGCAGCACAGUAAGAGCUUGCUCUUACGGGUGGCGAGUGGCGGACGGGUGAGGAAUACAUCGGAAUCUACUUUUUCGUGGGGGAUAACGUAGGGAAACUUACGCUAAUACCGCAUACGACCUACGGGUGAAAGCAGGGGAUCUUCGGACCUUGCGCGAUUGAAUGAGCCGAUGUCGGAUUAGCUAGUUGGCGGGGUAAAGGCCCACCAAGGCGACGAUCCGUAGCUGGUCUGAGAGGAUGAUCAGCCACACUGGAACUGAGACACGGUCCAGACUCCUACGGGAGGCAGCAGUGGGGAAUAUUGGACAAUGGGCGCAAGCCUGAUCCAGCCAUACCGCGUGGGUGAAGAAGGCCUUCGGGUUGUAAAGCCCUUUUGUUGGGAAAGAAAAGCAGCAGGUUAAUACCCCGCUGUUCUGACGGUACCCAAAGAAUAGGCACCGGCUAACUUCGUG